AUAACAAUUUUUUAAUUCAAUCAUUGAGAUUCGUGUAAAUUAAUGUGGUCCGAUGGAUAAAAAAAUCUUCAUUUCGAUGGAUACGAUUGUCGACUGAGAAAUAACUAUAUUUUA
Brachypodium distachyon (stiff brome) is the source of this 114-nucleotide non-coding RNA. The record is from RefSeq and is marked provisional. Lineage: Eukaryota; Viridiplantae; Streptophyta; Magnoliopsida; Poales; Poaceae.